Molecule: long non-coding RNA, 3836 nt
Filed under: Bos grunniens (domestic yak)
Lineage: Eukaryota; Metazoa; Chordata; Mammalia; Artiodactyla; Bovidae
Description: lncRNA (ENSBGRG00000012863.1)
Source: RNAcentral
UGAGAAAAUGGAGACGGCAAGGAGGUAGUUUUGCAAGGUCAUUUGGUCAAGACAUUGCUCUAGAAAAAUAUCCUGGCAUCUUAUGGAGUCCCAGCACAUCGUUUCUUGAGAGAAGUAGAUGAACGCCAUUCUCCAGACAAACCAAACCAGGAAGGAGCCAUGUUAAGAAGCAAGUUUUAAAAAACAACAGUAACAACAAAACAUACUUCAUGGGGGAGACCUGCAAAUAGAAUGUUAAUCCUUGACAGCCGUCCAGAGUGAGUUCCCCGGCUGGAAGCCAUCUGUCUGAUAAGUCAUUCAGAAAAGUUCCCCAUCCUCAGGUCUUUAAAGAUGAAUGCCUAUCAGCAAGAAUGGCCCCAGCUGCGUGCCGAAGCCUCAAGGCCCUGACUUCUCUUCCUGGCUCUGAUGUCCCUUCUGAAGUCAUCCAGUUUUUACAUCUUGAGCACGAAAAGCCUCCCCCUUUCCACUCUCCUUCCUCCUGCUGAAUUCUUCUUCAUUCUUCAAGAUCCAACUAAAAGAACUCUGGACUCCCAUGAGAAUAGCUGCCCAUCUUCUCCUCCAAGCCACCGCUCUAGAGUAGGUGAUUAAAAGCCCAAGCUUUGACGUCAGACUUGUGUGGGUUUAGAUCCUGGAUUUAUCACAUACCAGUUGGUGACUUUGGGCAAGUUAUUUAACUUCAGUGCUUCCGCAUCCUUAUUUGUAAAAAUGGAGAUUAAAAUACAUAGUUCCUCUCUUAGAAGGAAAGUAUUCAUUCAGCAAAUAUUUCCUAACUAUCUAUCAUACAUCAAAACAGAAAAAAACUCCUGCUAUGGCAUAACUUAGAUUUUAGAGCAGAGUUUGGCAAACUACAGUCCCUGCACCAAACUGAGUCACCUGUUUUGUAGAUAAAGUUUUCUUGGAACACAGCCACACCCAUUCAUUUAUGUACUGUCUGUGGUCACUUUCCAAGCUAUACUGGCUGAGAUUAAUGGUUGUGACAUAGAUCACAGGGCUGGCAGAGCCAAAACUAUUUACUUUUAAGAAAAUAUUUAUUGUUAAGAAACAGUUUUUUAGCUCCUGCUUUGGUGAAAUUGAGUUGUAGUUUAAAAUUUAAAACAUUGCCUGGCACUUGGGAAGCUCUCAGUAGAUGCCAGCAUUACUAACAUUACUGCAUACUCACAAUAACGCUUAGCUGCUCAGUAACAGAGGAGUAAAGAGGAAUCAGAAGUUGACCGCGUGGAAGCUGUUGGAGGAAGAGUUUUAAGAAGGUGGAAGUGGUCAGCCAGGUUAGGUUACCAAUCAAUACUGAAGAAAGAUCACCAGAUUUAGCAAUCAGAUAAAGAGAUCUAACCCCAGAGCAGCUUGGGUGAAGUUUUGUUGUUGUUGUUUAGUUGCUAGAUCAUGUCCGAUUCUUUCAAGGCCUGGUGGACUGUAGCCUGCCAGGCUGCUCUCCAUUUCCUUCUCCAGGGGAUCUUCCCAAAGCAGAGAUUAAACUUGCCUUUCCUGCAGCUUCUACACUACAGGUGGAUCCUUUACCACUGAGCCCUUGGGGACCAACAACAACAAUAAACCUCAGAGCAGCUUGUGUGAAGUGGUGAGAACAAAAGCUAGACUAUGGUAGGUGUAGGAGGGAAUGGAAAUGAGGAAGAAGAGAUAGGAAAGUAGAGAUUAUACAGCUAUGGGAGAGCAAGCACUGAGAUAAAAAUGAACACAUUUAAUCUGCUACCAGCAUUUUAAAAGAUCUGCUAACCAAAAAUAUCAGGUUUGAUAUGUUGGAGUAUCUGAUGGUUUUUCUGCUCAUCCUUUACUAUCUGAGCCACUGGGGAAUCCGCUAAGCUGUUUGGUGUUGGAUAAAAGGUUAAUGGUUAAAAUUUGAGUCCAGAACUAGAAGACAGACUUCAGGCAGAACCUUCAAGUCCAGGCUAUUAAAAGAUUUAUGAUGAUGUUGCUGAUGAUAAUGUUUGUUCUUUUUGUGAUGUUUAUCAUUGUGUUAACUGGUGUGAAAUGAGAAUUCCAAUGCAAAUGAUGAUGUAAAUUUGCUUACAGAUUAUUUAUUGUUAAUUGUAAAACAAAAAUGAUACAGGAUGUUUUAAAAUACAUAUUGUAUUUUAUUCAAAUAUAUACUAUAUAAAGGAAAAAAGUCUAUAAAGAUACACAUUCAGAGUAUUAACAGGGGUUAUACCAAGGAGGUAGGAUUAUUGAAAUGUUAUUUCCCUUGCAAUAUUUUUUUACACUUCAAAUAUUUGUACAAUGAACAGGGCUUACUUUUAUAAUCACAAAUAACAAGGGAACAAACCACCACAUGUUAAGAGCACACAACCUAUCAGUUCAGUUCAGUUGCUCAGUUGUGUCCAACUCUUUGUGACCCCAUGGACUGCAGCACACCAGGCCUCCCUGUCAUCACCAACUCCCAGAGUUUACUCAAACUCAUGUCCAUUGAGCCAGUGAUGCCAUCCAACCAUUUCAUGUGCACUGGUAAAAAGUGGCUUAAAUAACAAGGAUGUACUCUUACACAUAACCUAGAGUCCAGAGGUAGGUGAGUUCCAAGUCUGGUUAACUCAGGAGCUCAACAACUUCAGGAUUCUUGGUCAGCUCUUCUUUGACUGUUUUGGUUUUCACCUCCUGGGAGCGCUGAACAUCACUGGUAGAGGGGAGCACUCCCUCUAACCACAUAUCUCUCUUUUGUUCAUAGAUUCAAAUCUUUCCCAGAAUUUCCCUAGCAGACACCUUUCAUUUUACUGGUCACCCUGUGACAGUUCAGUAUAAGGAAGAACAGGAAAAAAAAAAAAAAAAACCACCCAGUUAAAAGAAGAAACCAUAGCCAUCCCUAAACCAAGAACUAGAGAAAGGGAUUACCAUCACUGCCCUAGACCAGCAGUGCUCAGUAGAAUUUAACAUGAGCAAAAAUGCAAGAUAAAAAUGUACAGCUCCCUGAGUAGUUUUUGGAAAGCCAAAAGCAACUUUUCAUUUUCCCCUUCAGGAAUGAGCUUCCACAUCAGUAAGCAACAAUGCCUCCCAUCACCAUAACUAGAAGUAAUGCCAAGGGUACAUCCUGUAUUAUUCCAACAAAGGCACCUUAGUUAUGGAAUUUGGACUUUGAGUUCCUGAGGUAUGAUUUUGGAUGUGACCCUGACUAUCUGUGUGGUCUUAAUGGAGUCCCUUGGCUUAUCUGAUUUCCUGUUUCCUCAUCUUUAAGAUGAGGUUUAACCUAGUUUAACCAGGUGGUUCUUUAAUGUUCUUUCAACUUGAGUACUCCAUUAUUUUAUUAAUAUACUACUGUUCAACUGUGGACCUUCCCAGCCCCUAUCUGAAACCAGAAAGCUAGGCCAGCAACACACAAGGAGUCACUCAGAAGGGCAUUUUCUCUGAUGCCACAGAGCAAAAUGCACUUUUAGAGGAAAAGAAAGAAGGCAAGACAUGAUGAUGUGUCAUUCACUUACUCAGUAAGUAUUACAGGGUACCCGCUCAUUAGAAAACACCUUGAUGCUGGGAAAGAUUGAGGGCCCGAGGAGAAGGGGAUGACAGAGGAGAUGGUUGGAUGGUAUAACUGACUCAAUGGACAUGAGUUUGAGCAAGCUCUGGGAGAUGGUGAAAGACAGGGUAGCCUGGCUUGCUGCAGUCCAUGGGGUCGCAAAGAGUCGGACAUGACUGAGCGACUAAACAACAAUUGUAGCCAGAGUGACUACUGGAUAAGAGAAAAAGAUGUGUUCUCUGCUCUCCGGGAGCUUGGGAGACAAGCAGAUAUCAAAUUACAAAAGCUGUAAAGAGCUCUAGGACAGAAGAUGAUGAGAGCACGAAACGGAGGAGCACCCAGCCCAGCUAAGAGGAGGGACAGGCGCCUCCCUGGAGCAAGUAAU